Molecule: ribosomal RNA, 253 nt
Filed under: uncultured bacterium
Lineage: Bacteria
Description: partial 16S ribosomal RNA
Rfam family: Bacterial small subunit ribosomal RNA
Source: RNAcentral
UACGAAGGGGGCUAGCGUUGUUCGGAAUUACUGGGCGUAAAGCGUGCGCAGGCGGCUUUUUAAGCCAGAGGUGAAAUCCCGGGGCUUAACUCCGGAAUUGCCUUUGGGACUGCAAGGCUUGAGAACGGGAGAGGUGAGUGGAAUUCCUAGUGUAGAGGUGAAAUUCGUAGAUAUUAGGAAGAACACCAGUGGCGAAGGCGGCUCACUGGCCCGGUACUGACGCUGAGGUGCGAAAGCGUGGGGAGCAAACAGG